UGUCUGCACGUAUUUUUUUUUUUUUUUUUUUUAGUUAUAAUAGCAGUAGCUGAAUUAGCAUAACGAAUACAAGUUACCCUUGUUCGGUCGGAUAGAAGCACAAGAAGAGUCUUUUGAGGAAGGAAAACCGGGGAUAAUCCACCAACACCAACAUAGUUGGUUUGUUGACCAGGUUAUAGGGCUGUCAACUAGAACCAUCAGCUGGUUUGAAGAUGAAACUGGAGCUAACAAUGUGUACAGGCCACAGUUGUUGACCACUACCGAGGCCUCACCGCUCACUUGUCUCGCCGUCUGCUCGAUCACAGUGACAUGCAAGGCAGCUACAUACAACAACGUGACCGGGGAAUGUAUUUGUCUUCAUAGCAAAACGAUUAUUACGUCACAACCGGGAAAUCGUCUUUGGCACCGCCAGUUUGAUGGCUUCAUCUAUAAUGCGCAAUUGGGAUGGUACAUCAGGGUGGUUGGAAACAUGUCAUUAACACAGCCUGACGCGGAGGCCUUCUGUGGCACCCUAGGUGCCAGGCUGGCCGUCCUGGAUACAGAUGGGAAGAUAAACUACGCCACAGCUCUACCUGACUACUACACUUACAUACCCUUCUAUGUAGGCGCAAUGUAUAAUCAAACUGAGGGAGCAUUUCUAUGGAGUACCGGCGCUAAAGUAUCAACCAAUUGGAGAGCUGGUGAGCCGAAUGGCUUCUUCCGUGACGAGAAAUGUGUGGCACUGUACUGGAGACAAUUGGUUGAUAUUCCUUGUAAUUCUGUAAUUCUGUUCAUAUGCGAAAUUAUGUAGUUAUCUGCAUAAGCGCACUUUCGUAGAGCUUGUAUCAAGACAUACAGACCGUUUUGUUUGUUUUUUGGCAUUGAAUUCAAUGGAUUUUUCUUAGACUGGAAGGGGUUAAACUUGAACAACAAGCAAUUGAUUAAAAAUUAAAUAGCAAACAGUGAUCGUGAAUUUGUCAGGCAUUUAACGUAUCUGUGUAUUCUUGUUUAGCAUCGAGAUAAUAUCACAUGACCAUAAAAAGCUUAUGUGAGUGCGACUGAAUAGAAAAGAUACUGUAACAUCAUCCAUGUAAUAAAGUGACAGAAUUUGGACGAUGUAAAUGACCCAUUAUCGACAUGGCAAGAUGUUCGGACGGUAUAUAGAUGUACCGUAGAAUAAUAGUUUGAUGAGCAGAUGAAUGGAAUGGGAAAAAUUACAUAAAUGCAAUGUGAGAAUGAUAGAUAAAGGUAAUGUGAAUAAUAAAUCGCUGUAAUGUGAGAAUGAUAGAAUGUUAGAUAAAUGUUUUGAGAAUAUUGUAUCAUAAUAUAUAUACUGUGAGAAUGAUAAAUAAAUGUAUAUAUAUAUAUAUAUAAAUUCCUAGAGUAACAUUUGAAUGUGAUGUGAGAAUAAUAGAUGUAAUAUUUAUAUAAUAGAUGUGAUUGUAGGUAAUUGUAAUGUGACAUGUCUACACUAUAUAUGUUGUGAGUGUUG
Molecule: long non-coding RNA, 1471 nt
Organism: Pecten maximus
Lineage: Eukaryota; Metazoa; Mollusca; Bivalvia; Pectinida; Pectinidae
Exons: 4
Source: RefSeq, a predicted model, not a curated record